Molecule: ribosomal RNA, 404 nt
Filed under: uncultured bacterium
Lineage: Bacteria
Description: bacterial SSU rRNA
Rfam family: Bacterial small subunit ribosomal RNA
Source: RNAcentral
UAGGCUAGAAUGCGCGUGACCGCUCCAGAGAUGGAGCUUUCCUUCGGGACACAAAGCAAGGUGCUGCAUGGCCGUCGUCAGCUCGUGCCGUGAGGUGUUGGGUUAAGUCCCGCAACGAGCGCAACCCCUAUCUUUAGUUGCCAGCACAUUAUGGUGGGGACUCUAAAGAGACUGCCUGCGCAAGCAGUGAGGAAGGUGGGGAUGACGUCAGGUCAUCAUGGCCCUUACGCCUAGGGCUACACACGUGCUACAAUGGGCGGUACAGAGGGUUGCUACCUGGUGACAGGAUGCCAAUCUCAAAAAGCCGCUCUCAGUUCGGAUCGAAGUCUGCAACUCGACUUCGUGAAGCUGGAAUCGCUAGUAAUCGCGUAUCAGCAAUGACGCGGUGAAUACGUUCCCGGGCC